RNAcentral lists this long non-coding RNA (216 nucleotides) under Setaria italica (foxtail millet). RNAcentral describes it as "long non-coding RNA (SITA_LNC002126)". Lineage: Eukaryota; Viridiplantae; Streptophyta; Magnoliopsida; Poales; Poaceae. The record is from RNAcentral.
CCAGGAAACGGGAAGCAAGAAGCCGCCAUGAGCGCGCCCUUGCACGACUCCGAGCUGCUACGAGAUCACUGAAGAUGCUGGCUACUGUACUUGCUAUGCAGUGGCGCUCGUUGGAGAUGGAUGAGAGAGGACUGGUUGGGUGCCGCAUAUUUAUAGCCUGCCUCGACCGAUAAUCUCGCGGACUUCUCUUUGGGACGGGCCGGGGUUGGGUGUGUG